AAAAGACAUCUAUUCAAAGUCACUUCGAUGUUUCCAAACUACACAUAGAUGACCAGCUAGCAGAUGUUGUGGGGUUCCGAAACAGGUUGCUAGGUGGUGCACUACCAACUUCAAUUAGAAUAAGUCAGGUUACAUCCCAGGGCGCCUGGUCUGCUGCAGAUGAACUAAAAAGAGGGGAUGUUGUGGUGAAAUCUAUAGAGGAUGUCUUACUCUCCAUGGAGGAAGGUCCAACUUGGAUUGCAGGGAGCAUUGUUUCUAUAAACGCUGGAAAUAGUGAUUGGUUUUAUAAAGCAUGUAGAAAGUGUCCAAAGAAGGUUGAAACUCCAAUUGGAAAUCGAUAUGAAUGCAGCAAAUGUGGCCACACACAUG
This is a long non-coding RNA of Arachis stenosperma, 369 nucleotides long. RefSeq lists it as uncharacterized. The transcript has 3 exons. The record is from RefSeq and is a predicted model, not a curated record. Lineage: Eukaryota; Viridiplantae; Streptophyta; Magnoliopsida; Fabales; Fabaceae.